Molecule: unclassified non-coding RNA, 253 nt
Filed under: uncultured Nocardioidaceae bacterium
Lineage: Bacteria; Bacillati; Actinomycetota; Actinomycetes; Propionibacteriales; Nocardioidaceae
Description: contains 16S-23S intergenic spacer region
Rfam family: Bacterial small subunit ribosomal RNA
Source: RNAcentral
UACGGAGGGUGCAAGCGUUGUCCGGAUUUAUUGGGCGUAAAGGGCUCGUAGGCGGUUUGUCGCGUCGGGAGUGAAAACCCAGGGCUUAACUCUGGGCUUGCUUUCGAUACGGGCAGACUAGAGGCAAGCAGGGGAGAACGGAAUUCCUGGUGUAGCGGUGAAAUGCGCAGAUAUCAGGAGGAACACCGGUGGCGAAGGCGGUUCUCUGGUCAUGUCCUGACGCUGAGGAGCGAAAGUGUGGGGAGCGAACAGG